UAGAGAGCCUCCCCCUCAUUUGUACUCACUCCUGUAAUUGUUUCAUUAUUCUUUGUGAAUAAGAAUUGAGAGCAUUUACUCAAACUUUUCUCUCAGGCGUUCUUGCUUUUGUUCAUCUUUCAAAGAUCGUUCUUAAUUCGUUCUUCCGCUGUUCUUCAUGGAAACUUUAAGGGAAUUCUGUUGAAUCCUUUAUUGUUGCGAGUUGAGCUGACUUAGGCGUUUUUACGGUUGAAUCCAUUAUCGGUGGAAGUUAGGCUGACUUAGGCGUUUUUAAGCCAAGAAACUGCCUAAGGCCGCACGGAUGUGUGGGAAAACUCCAAGUCCGUGACAUAUGCACAUGGUUAUACAUGCACAAACAAAAUCAAAGUUUCAAAUAAAGAUUUAAUAGAUAAUUAAAAUUAUCGUAAAUAUUGAGAUUUGAAUAUUAUUGGAUUAACUUUGAAUUUAAGAUCCUACAAUAUUAUACUUGAUAUUUUUUUUAAUAAUAAAAAACCUCACCGUUCUUGAUCAAGUGAAUGUCAUGGAUUCUCAAAUUAGUCUCUUCCUUAGUUGAGUUUCAAUUCAAUUGUAAAAUUACUAAUAAUUUAUUAUUUUAAUUAUAUUCUUAUUUUUUUUAUAUUUUUAUAUAAAAUCAACAACUUUAUUAUCUUAAUUUUAUCAUUUCAUCUAAAGCUACAUUUAAUUUUUUACGUAUUGCUUUUAUAAAAUUGAUGAGAAAAAAUUUCUAUCUACAUAGUAAGUUGUGUCCAAAUCUAAUUUAUAAUGGUUAAAAUAUGUUUUCUUUUCAUAAAUUUAAAAUUUAGUCAUUGUAUUUUUCAUUUUCAGGAAUUUAGUUUUUUAUUAAAUUCGUUAGUGUGACAUUUUGAAAUUUUUUAAAAAAUAUCAUUUGUCAGUAAUAUAACUCAAAAAUGACUUUGUAAUAACUUGAAUUUAAUAAAAUAAUUUUAACAGUGUUAACAGUUAUACCUAAAUUUUAAAUUAAAUUCUUAAAAAUAAAGUACUAGGACUAAAUUUUAAAUUUACAAAAGAGUACAGAUGUUAUGACAUAUUUUAACCAAUUUAUAAUUAAUUCUGUUUAUGUUGUAAUAAUCAUCUAAUAAGUGUCAAACCAAUUGCAGUGACUAUAAGCGUAGAAGGAACUCCAAAUUUAAGGUGAUUCCAGAAAGACAAUGUGUAGCCAAGAUGUGGUGCUCGACGAGCUUGCUCACAUACUAUCAAGUUCGCCGCCGAUCCCAACAACGACAGGUUUCCGGCUACCGUGCUCACC
This 1267-nucleotide long non-coding RNA is filed under the name Gossypium barbadense (sea-island cotton). RNAcentral's name for it is "long non-coding RNA (GBAR_LNC020446)". The record is from RNAcentral. Lineage: Eukaryota; Viridiplantae; Streptophyta; Magnoliopsida; Malvales; Malvaceae.